This 253-nucleotide ribosomal RNA is filed under the name uncultured bacterium. RNAcentral's name for it is "partial 16S ribosomal RNA". It matches the Rfam family "Bacterial small subunit ribosomal RNA", at positions 524 to 776 of the family's 1533-position model. The record is from RNAcentral.
GACAGAGGUGCCGAGCGUUAAUCGGAAUUACUGGGCGUAAAGCGUGCGCAGGCGGUUUUGUAAGCCAGAUGUGAAAUCCCCGGGCUUAACCUGGGAAUGGCAUUUGGGACUGCAAGGCUUGAGUGCGGCAGAGGAGACUGGAAUUCCUGGUGUAGCAGUGAAAUGCGUAGAUAUCAGGAGGAAUACCGAUGGCGAAGGCAGGUCUCUGGGCUGACACUGACGCUCAUGCACGAAAGCGUGGGGAGCAAACAGG